Molecule: ribosomal RNA, 403 nt
Filed under: uncultured bacterium
Lineage: Bacteria
Description: partial 16S ribosomal RNA
Rfam family: Bacterial small subunit ribosomal RNA
Source: RNAcentral
AUUGAACGCUGGCGGCAGGCCUAACACAUGCAAGUCGAGCGAGCGGCGGACGGGUGAGUAAUGUAUGGGGACUGCACGAUAGAGGGGGAUAACUACUGGAAACGGUGGCUACUACAGCAUACUCUCGGAUAACCCAUAUGGGGUUAGCUAGUAGGUGGGGUAAAGGCUCACCUAGGAGACGAGCUCUAGCAGGUCUGAGAGGAUGCUCACCCACACUGUGACGUAGACACGGCCCAGACUCCGACGGAGGCAGCAGUGUGGAAUAUUGCACAAUGUGCGCAAGCCUGAUGCAGCCAUGCCGCGAGUAUGAAGAAGGCCUGCGGGUUGUAAAGUACUUUCAGCGAGGAGGCGUUACUCGCAGAAGAAGCACCGGCUGACUCCGUGCCAGCAGCCGCGGUAAUAC